GCUCAGGACGAACGCUGGCGGCGUGCUUAACACAUGCAAGUCGAACGGAAAGGCUCUUUCGGGAGUACUCGAGUGGCGAACGGGUGAGUAACACGUGGGUGAUCUGCCCUGCACUUUGGGAUAAGCCUGGGAAACUGGGUCUAAUACCGGAUAGGACCAUGCUCUAGUGUGUCAUGGUGGAAAGCUUUUGCGGUGUGGGAUGAGCUCGCGGCCUAUCAGCUUGUUGGUGGGGUAAUGGCCUACCAAGGCGUCGACGGGUAGCCGGCCUGAGAGGGUGGACGGCCACAUUGGGACUGAGACACGGCCCAGACUCCUACGGGAGGCAGCAGUGGGGAAUAUUGCACAAUGGGCGCAAGCCUGAUGCAGCGACGCCGCGUGGGGGAUGAAGGCCUUCGGGUUGUAAACUCCUUUCAACAGGGACGAAGCU
Molecule: ribosomal RNA, 427 nt
Filed under: Corynebacterium pseudodiphtheriticum
Lineage: Bacteria; Bacillati; Actinomycetota; Actinomycetes; Mycobacteriales; Corynebacteriaceae
Also listed under: 1 other name
Description: bacterial SSU rRNA
Rfam family: Bacterial small subunit ribosomal RNA
Source: RNAcentral